UAAUACGGAGGAUGCGAGCGUUAUCCGGAUUUAUUGGGUUUAAAGGGUGCGUAGGCGGUUUCUUAAGUCAGCGGUGAAAGUAUUCGGCUCAACCGGAUAAUUGCCGUUGAAACUGGGAGACUUGAGUUUAGAAGAGGUAUGCGGAAUGCGUGGUGUAGCGGUGAAAUGCAUAGAUAUCACGCAGAACUCCAAUUGCGAAGGCAGCAUGCUGGACUAACACUGACGCUGAUGCACGAAAGCGUGGGGAUCAAACAGG
This 256-nucleotide ribosomal RNA is filed under the name uncultured bacterium. RNAcentral's name for it is "partial 16S ribosomal RNA". It matches the Rfam family "Bacterial small subunit ribosomal RNA", at positions 521 to 776 of the family's 1533-position model. The record is from RNAcentral.